This 362-nucleotide unclassified non-coding RNA is filed under the name soil metagenome. RNAcentral's name for it is "partial contains 5.8S ribosomal RNA, internal transcribed spacer 2, and large subunit ribosomal RNA". The stretch from base 1 to 120 matches the Rfam family "5.8S ribosomal RNA", at positions 35 to 154 of the family's 154-position model. The record is from RNAcentral.
GAUGAAGAACGUAGCGAAUUGCGAUAAGUAAUGUGAAUUGCAGAAUUCAGUGAAUCAUCGAAUCUUUGAACGCACCUUGCGCUCCUUGGUAUUCCGAGGAGCAUGCCUGUUUGAGUGUCAUUAAUAUAUCAACCUUCUCUUUUUUGAGUUGUUUGGAUGUGGGGGUUUGCUGGCCUCUUAAAUGAUUCAGCUCCCCUGAAAUGCAUUAGCAGAACAACCUGUUCAUUAGCGUGAUAAUUAUCUAUGCUAUUGAAUGUGAGGGCAGUUCAGCUUUCUAACCGUCCUUGGACAAUUCAUCAUUAAUGUGACCUCAAAUCAGGUAGGACUACCCGCUGAACUUAAGCAUAUCAAUAAGCGGAGGA